CCACCUUGAGAUGAAAACUGAAAGUGUC
Molecule: small RNA, 28 nt
Filed under: Bombyx mori (domestic silkworm)
Lineage: Eukaryota; Metazoa; Arthropoda; Insecta; Lepidoptera; Bombycidae
Description: ovarian small RNA-13503
Source: RNAcentral